RNAcentral lists this unclassified non-coding RNA (463 nucleotides) under Hevea brasiliensis (rubber tree). The record is from RNAcentral. Lineage: Eukaryota; Viridiplantae; Streptophyta; Magnoliopsida; Malpighiales; Euphorbiaceae.
GAGUUUGAUGAAGUAUUAGAGGUAUGCAUGUGAGAUAACUAAUGUUUUCCUUCGAUUUUCUGCGUCUGUUGCUGACACAAUCACUUGAUUGAUUGAUAUUGAUUGCACUUGUUUUUAAUUGUUUGCCUUCCUAAUAGCUCAUAUUUCAACUUCCCUUUUUUUUAAGUUUAGUACAUUAUUUUCCCGCUUUCUUCCUGGCAAACUGUUUUAUAUGAUAUUGGAUGCAACACAUUCUUUUUAACUAUUUGUAUCAAUGCAAAAAUGAGAACCAUUUUGAAUUUCUUAUCCUGUGAAGCACAAAUAUUUGAUUUAAUCUGAAUGUGACAAUUGCAAACUAAGAAAAAUCAUGUAAUUUAAAGUGAAAAUAUUGCAUUUUGAAAUAAAACACAACACAGCUCCUAUUGUUGGAGUUGAUCAAAAUAUUUGAUUUGCUUGUAUCAGGUACAAAGGAAACAUGUGUAUG